UCCUACGGGAGGCAGCAGUGGGGAAUAUUGGACAAUGGGGGCAACCCUGAUCCAGCAAUGCCGCGUGUGUGAAGAAGGCCUUCGGGUUGUAAAGCACUUUUAUCGGGAACGAAACAUUGUCGGUGAAUAUCCGGCAAGACUGACGGUACCCGAGGAAUAAGCACCGGCUAACUUCGUGCCAGCAGCCGCGGUAAUACGAAGGGUGCAAGCGUUACUCGGAAUUACUGGGCGUAAAGGGUGCGUAGGUGGUUUUUUAAGUCUGCUGUGAAAUCCCCGGGCUCAACCUGGGAAUGGCAGUGGAUACUGGAAAGCUAGAGUGCGGUAGAGGGUAGUGGAAUUCCCGGUGUAGCAGUGAAAUGCGUAGAGAUCGGGAGGAACACCAGUGGCGAAGGCGGCUACCUGGACCAGCACUGACACUGAGGCACGAAAGCGUGGGGAGCAAACAGGAUUAGAUACCCGAGUA
Molecule: ribosomal RNA, 463 nt
Filed under: uncultured bacterium
Lineage: Bacteria
Description: bacterial SSU rRNA
Rfam family: Bacterial small subunit ribosomal RNA
Source: RNAcentral